GCCGGUGUAGCUCAGCUGGUAGAGCAAUCCCCUCGUAAGGGAUAGGCCGUAGGUUCAAUUCCUAUCACCGGCACCA
This 76-nucleotide transfer RNA is filed under the name Stenotrophomonas maltophilia. RNAcentral describes it as "tRNA-Thr". It matches the Rfam family "tRNA". From Rfam's summary of the family: Transfer RNA (tRNA) molecules are approximately 80 nucleotides in length. Their secondary structure includes four short double-helical elements and three loops (D, anti-codon, and T loops). Further hydrogen bonds mediate the characteristic L-shaped molecular structure. tRNAs have two regions of fundamental functional importance: the anti-codon, which is responsible for specific mRNA codon recognition, and the 3' end, to which the tRNAs corresponding amino acid is attached (by aminoacyl-tRNA synthetases). tRNAs cope with the degeneracy of the genetic code in two manners: having more than one tRNA (with a specific anti-codon) for a particular amino acid; and 'wobble' base-pairing, i.e. permitting non-standard base-pairing at the 3rd anti-codon position. Lineage: Bacteria; Pseudomonadati; Pseudomonadota; Gammaproteobacteria; Lysobacterales; Lysobacteraceae. The record is from RNAcentral. RNAcentral also lists the same sequence under 2 other names.